RNAcentral lists this long non-coding RNA (520 nucleotides) under Brassica napus (rape). Its description in RNAcentral is "long non-coding RNA (BNAP_LNC000639)". Lineage: Eukaryota; Viridiplantae; Streptophyta; Magnoliopsida; Brassicales; Brassicaceae. The record is from RNAcentral.
AUUGCCUCAAUCCAUAGCUGUUUCAUCCCAUCCCCUUCUCUUUGUCCGCGCAUCUGGAUUUUUGUUGGGUCUAUACGGCGAAUCUAUAAAAAAACCAUGGCGAGGUCAGCUUGGUCUAAGAGUACGUCGGUGAGGUGUUGCGUUACUGCCUCCGAUUAUUCGGUAUGUAUCUCACUAUAUGAUCCAUUAAAAUAUCAUUAUAUAUAUGCGUGUUUUUUUCUAACAAUUCUAAUCUACAACGAAACAUUUUAUGUGCAAUCAAUAAAUAGUGAUAAGCAAAAGGAGCGUGGAAGACAAUGUAAAUCUCAAAGCAUUGGUGAAAAUGUUACUUUUACAAUUGCAUUUAGCUGCUCAUUUCAUUAUUUAGCGCCAUCAUAAUUUAGUUACUUGUUAAAUAUCGUGUUAUCAGAUAAUAAUGGUAGUAACAGUGUAGCUAGUAUAUUAACCAAUAAUAUUAAUAUUAUUUGUUAAAUUAUUAUUAAAAUUAAUCCUACCAAGUAUAUUUUGGAUGCUCUCAUAG